Molecule: ribosomal RNA, 228 nt
Filed under: uncultured Streptococcaceae bacterium
Lineage: Bacteria; Bacillati; Bacillota; Bacilli; Lactobacillales; Streptococcaceae
Description: partial 16S ribosomal RNA
Rfam family: Bacterial small subunit ribosomal RNA
Source: RNAcentral
UAACGCGUAGGUAACCUGCCUUGUAGCGGGGGAUAACUAUUGGAAACGAUAGCUAAUACCGCAUAACAAUGGGUGACACAUGUCAUUUAUUUGAAAGGGGCAAUUGCUCCACUACAAGAUGGACCUGCGUUGUAUUAGCUAGUAGGUGAGGUAACGGCUCACCUAGGCGACGAUACAUAGCCGACCUGAGAAGGUGAUCGGCCACACUGGGACUGAGACACGGCCCAG